This 777-nucleotide non-coding RNA is filed under the name Agnesiella aldera. The record is from RNAcentral. Lineage: Eukaryota; Metazoa; Arthropoda; Insecta; Hemiptera; Cicadellidae.
UAGGAGAUAUAUUUUAAUUAUUAUCUAUAUUUUUGAUAAUAUAUUAUUGUAAGUUUUAUUCUUGCUUAAAUUAUUAAAUUUUUAUAUUAAUUAUAUGUUAUUUUUUUAAUUUAUUAAAUUUCAGUAAUAAAUAUUAUACAUUAUUUUUAUUUYUAUUAAGAUAUAUAAUUAUAUUAGAUUAAAAUUGUGCCAGCAUUCGCGGUUAUACAAUUUAUUAAAUUUAAUAUUUUAGGUUUUAAUUAUUUAUUAAUUUGAUUUAAAACUUUAAAAAUUUAGGUGGAAUUUUUUUUUAAAAAUUUUAUCUAUUAAAUUCUUGUUAAAUUUUAUUUCUAAACUAGGAUUAGAUACCCUAYUAUUUUAAAUUUAAUUUUUAACUUGAAUAUUAUCAGUUAAUUUCUGUAAAACUCAAAGAAUUUGGCGGUAAUUUACUUUUUUAGAGGAAUUUGGUUUUUAAUCGAUAAACCACGAUAUAUUUAACUUUUUUUAUACUUGUAUAUCUCUAUAAUUUGGAAUGUUACUAUAUUAUAUUUUCUUUUUUUAUUUAUAUAAUUAUAUUAGGUCAAGGUGCAGUUUUAAAAAAGUGAAUUUGAAUUACUUUAAUUAUAUAUAUAUUGAUAUUUUUAAAAAAAUUUAAUUUUAAAAUAGAAUUUAAUAGUAAAUUUAAAUAAUUAUUUAAAUUGAAUUUUACACUAAAUUAUGUACAUAUUGCCCGUCACUCUCAUCACAAUGAGAUAAGUCGUAACAAAGUAAUUUUACUGGAAAGUGAGGUUAGAAAGU